CACGUAGGCGGCUCGGCAAAUCGGUCGUGGAAUCCCGACGCUUACCGUCGGAACGGCGGCCGAAAAUACCGGGCUCGAGGGCGUGAGGGGUCACUGGAACUCCUGGUGAAGCGGUGAAAUGCGUAGAUAUCAGGAGGAACGCCGGAGGCGAAAGCGAGUGACUGGCGCGUUCCUGACGCUGAGGUGCGAAAGCUAGGGGAGCAAACAGGAUUAGAUACCCUGGUAGUCCUAGCCGUAAACGAUGGACACUGAGUGAAGGAGGGCUUGCCCUUCUUUGCUGCAGCUAACGCGUUAAGUGUCCCGCCUGGGGAGUACGGCCGCAAGGUUAAA
RNAcentral lists this ribosomal RNA (330 nucleotides) under uncultured bacterium. Its description in RNAcentral is "bacterial SSU rRNA". It matches the Rfam family "Bacterial small subunit ribosomal RNA", at positions 568 to 898 of the family's 1533-position model. The record is from RNAcentral.